This 424-nucleotide ribosomal RNA is filed under the name uncultured Methylocystis sp. RNAcentral describes it as "bacterial SSU rRNA". It matches the Rfam family "Bacterial small subunit ribosomal RNA", at positions 39 to 510 of the family's 1533-position model. Lineage: Bacteria; Pseudomonadati; Pseudomonadota; Alphaproteobacteria; Hyphomicrobiales; Methylocystaceae. The record is from RNAcentral.
GCGGCAGGCCUAACACAUGCAAGUCGAACGCUGUAGCAAUACAGAGUGGCAGACGGGUGAGUAACGCGUGGGAACAUGCCCUUCGGUUCGGAAUAACUCAGGGAAACUUGAGCUAAUACCGGAUACGCCCUUAGGGGGAAAGAUUUAUUGCCGAAGGAUUGGCCCGCGUCCGAUUAGCUAGUUGGUGAGGUAAUGGCUCACCAAGGCGACGAUCGGAAGCUGGUCUGAGAGGAUGAUCAGCCACACUGGGGCUGAGACACGGCCCAGACUCCUACGGGAGGCAGCAGUGGGGAAUAUUGGACAAUGGGCGCAAGCCUGAUCCAGCCAUGCCGCGUGAGUGAUGAAGGCCCUAGGGUUGUAAAGCUCUUUCGCCAGGGACGAUAAUGACGGUACCUGGAUAAGAACCCCGGCUAACUUCGUGCCA